GAUGAACGCUAGCUACAGGCUUAACACAUGCAAGUCGAGGGGCAGCAUGGUCUUAGCUUGCUAAGGCCGAUGGCGACCGGCGCACGGGUGAGUAACACGUAUCCAACCUGCCGUCUACUCUUGGACAGCCUUCUGAAAGGAAGAUUAAUACAAGAUGGCAUCAUGAGUCCGCAUGUUCACAUGAUUAAAGGUAUUCCGGUAGACGAUGGGGAUGCGUUCCAUUAGAUAGUAGGCGGGGUAACGGCCCACCUAGUCUUCGAUGGAUAGGGGUUCUGAGAGGAAGGUCCCCCACAUUGGAACUGAGACACGGUCCAAACUCCUACGGGAGGCAGCAGUGAGGAAUAUUGGUCAAUGGGCGAGAGCCUGAACCAGCCAAGUAGCGUGAAGGAUGACUGCCCUAUGGGUUGUAAACUUCUUUUAUAAAGGAAUAAAGUCGGGUAUGGAUACCCGUUUGCAUGUACUUUAUGAAUAAGGAUCGGCCAACUCCGUG
This 490-nucleotide ribosomal RNA is filed under the name uncultured bacterium. RNAcentral's name for it is "partial 16S ribosomal RNA". It matches the Rfam family "Bacterial small subunit ribosomal RNA", at positions 28 to 507 of the family's 1533-position model. The record is from RNAcentral.